This 433-nucleotide ribosomal RNA is filed under the name uncultured bacterium. RNAcentral describes it as "partial 16S ribosomal RNA". It matches the Rfam family "Bacterial small subunit ribosomal RNA", at positions 29 to 507 of the family's 1533-position model. The record is from RNAcentral.
AACGAACGCUGGCGGCAUGCCUAACACAUGCAAGUCGAACGACACCUUCGUGUCUAGUUGCGCACGGGUGCGUAACGCGUGGGAACCUGCCCUUAGGUUCCGAAUACCUCCCUUAAGGGGGUGCUAAUACCGGAUAAUUUCUUCGGACCUAAGAUUUAUCGCGUUUGGAUGGGCCGGCGUUGGAUUAGCUUGUUGGUAGUGUAAAAGCCUAGCAAGGCUAGGUUCCAUAGCUGGUCUGAGAGAAUGGUCAGACACACUGGGACUGAGACACGGCGCAGAAUCGUGAGGGAGGGGGGAGUGGGGAAUAAUGGAAAACGGGAGAAGGCAUGAGCAAGCAAGGGCGGGUGAGUGAUGAAGGCGGGAGGGAAGUAAAGCUCGUUUAUACGGGAUGGUAAUGACAGUACCGGGAGAAUAAGCUCCGGCUAACUUCGUG